This is a non-coding RNA of Pelobates cultripes (western spadefoot toad), 317 nucleotides long. NCBI's taxonomy places the organism in Eukaryota, Metazoa, Chordata, Amphibia, Anura, Pelobatidae. The record is from the annotation of a GenBank genome assembly.
AUCUUGAACUAAGUCAGGAAAAUUUCCAUGACGUAGACACCAUUUAGUUAUGGCCUUGUAUGUUUGCCAAAUUAAGGGAGGUCCUAAAUUGAAUAAAGUAAAAGAAGUGUUACUUUUUCAUAUUUGGACUACAGUAACCUAAAAUGGAGACAUCUAAGGUAUAAAUAGGUGUACUUUUAAAUGUUAAGACACGGAGGAGAGACUUGGAGACAGACGCUGCUCCAUCUUAAAAUGACAGAGAGGCUGACAUGAUGACAUGUUCAGAAGGGUAUGUUAACCUAUUAAUGAUAUUUGCAAGCAUGUAAUUUAAUCUUAUA